UUAAGAGUCCUUUUAAUACAGCAUGAAAAGGCUAUAUUUCUAUAGGCAGGCCGUAUACAGAUUCUCCAGGAAUAAGGCACACAACGGAAUGCCAUCCCGAGGGCGGCCCUCGGGAGCGGUCGGGAGCCUCCUCCACGCACCCUCCGAGCUGGCCCACGGGUUCUGUUUGUCUUUCUAGCUAGACGCACACAUAUUAACAGAUACAGACAUGGACAGGGUCACCACAUGCGAGUGGAGGACGUCGAGUGAGGUUGGCAACAGAGAGCGAUGAAUUCCCCAAGGCUGGACGCCUCCCAGAUUUCAGGGUUAGCUGUCGCUCUGGGCUGUGAUGUAGUGAUGCUGGGUUAAAUAUUCAUUUCGAGUAGAUUCAAGUCCAUUAGAUGGUGGAGGGCAGGGGGACAAAUCCAAGUUCAAAGAGCAUGGGGACCUGGGACAUGGCUCAGAUGGCAAAGCUCCAAAAGGAACGGUGUGAAGUCUGUCUUCCUCUUCCCUCUUUGGGCUGUUCUGACCGGAAGCCCUGGAUCAGGCCAAGGAGGCCAUCUUUGGAGCUGGCCAACCAUAGAGGGGCUAGUCAGUCACAUGCCCCCUGUUCCCCUAGCUCACUCCUGCCCCCCCACAAGAUUAAUAACCAUAAUAACAAGAUAAUAAUAAGAAGGUGCAAGAGAAUGGAUUAUAGUGCUGUGUUAUCCUCAGCUGAAGAGGCUCAAAGAGCUCCCCAUUCCCUUUUUCACUAAGUAUCUAAUAAUAGCUUCCCUCCAAAAAGGCAAUACUUUCCAAAAUACACAUAUGUAUAAAUACAGGACAGGAACAUAUUAAUAAGUAUAAGCACUUGAAUAAUAUGCUGACUACUUAAUACUGAUAUUUUCAUCCAAGGCAAACAAGAGAGAAUAACAAUAAUAUGGCUUAAAGAAUUGCAAAGAUUUUUUUUUCCUCAUCAGAAUUAUGUACCAACUUCAUAUAAUAUUCUAUGUAGACAAUAUUUCCUUAAUGUAAUUCAGUUGCAGACUUUUUACAGACCAAAGCAUAGUAAAAAAUCAAACCAAAAAAAAAAAAAAAACAGGAAAAAAAGAAAAGUUCUCACCAUAAAUAUUUUCUUGCAGCUCAACCAGAAGGUUUGCAAAAAAUACUUCCAGAAAUCUUCAUUUGAUAUUCUACUGCCCUCCUGAAAGCUCUGAAGUUUUGAAAAUGCCUCUCCUUUUGUUUAUUUUAAAUCUCAAAAAUCAAGUAAUUAUAUUUUUCUUGUCUUUUUCUUUUUCUUCUUUUUUUUUUAAAAAAGGCCCUCAAAUAUAUACAGACAAAAAUCACUGUGAAGAUCUUUCGGGAGAAGGUAACAAAUUCAGUGUUGUGAGAAAAAUUGGAAACCAUGCAGAAAUUUUAACAUCCAUGAAUUUUCUUUUCAAAAUACACACAUAGUAUUUUUCUUUAAAAAAAAAAAAAAAAAGGAAUUCUGUGUCAAGUAUAACUCAAAAUAAAUACAAAUUCACAAGUAGAACUAUUGAAUACUUCAUAUGGGGUAAACACCAUUAUCUCCCAACUAGAUCGCUAGAUCUACUAACUGCAAGCGAUUGUCCCUUUUGAACAUACUGAAACCACACACUUUCUUGUCUCCUGGACGCCCGGGCCCUCUGAGCACUUAAUUCUCACAGCACCAGCCUGGACAGCAGUGGCUUUUGCUGACCACACAGAGCUCCCAAAUUCAGCCAGGGGGCGGGGGCAAUAUGGAAGGGCUGCCCCAGGCAGGAGGGCCUAGCCCCCCCACAGUGGCUGAUUCUGCACAGAUGGCAGCGGCAGUGACUGCCAGCUGGACAAGCCCACUGCAAAGGUCACUUUGGGGUGAUAUUCCUUCUGGAGUCUGGAGCCUGGGUUCUUUCUAGGAUGUGGACUUCCCGCACAACCUCAGCCCAAGCACCCAGAAGCCCAGGUCCUCCCUGUGGGGCCAGGUCCCUGGAAGUCUUGGGGCCUUGUCCUCGCAGUGGAAACCAGGACACUGCCACCCCUUGUGAAUGCUCUCUUUAGAGGGACACGAGGAUGACUGACAGUGACAGCUUCUCGGGGACAGAGAACCCAGGGCCAGGGUGACUCUGGCUCACCUUGACACAGUAGAGCAGGCAGGGAGCAGAGGGAUUCUUCAGUGGGCGGUAAGCACGUUCACAGUUGGUGGCGGGCGUUCUGCCCCUGCAGGCCUGGAGGGAGGCAGCUACAGGGCUCAGGCUGGAGCACACACACCCUUCCUAAGUGCUCAGAGGGCUUGGUCCCCCCCAAUCUACCCUGCAGCCCUCUGGCUGCAAACACUCUCAACUCCAUCUCUUCAACUCACUCCCUGGACCCCUGAUUAACACUUUGCCGUAACUCCUCAGUUGUACAAAGCAUUUUCACUUGAAAACCAAAGACGACCGGCCCCAGGUUGGGUGUCCUUGAGCCGUGGUAAACACUGAAUUUCAGGCCCAUUCCGCGGUCUGAUUUUUUUUUUUUUUUUUUUUUUUUCCCCACAGAGGCAUAAUGUUGGGGCAACAUCAAAGGACCCAGCCCUGGGAGAAAGGAAGGGUAAUAUGACAAAGCAAAUAGGGCUUCUCAUGGGGGACAGAGCAGAGAGGAAGGCAAUCCUUCCCACUAGCCAGGACAGCAUUGGCAGGCCUGUCCAGUGUGAGUGCCAGGAGGCCUCUCCGCCCCCUCGGGAGGUAGGAAUCAUUGUCCCCACUUUGCAAACCAGAGGUUCUGUAGCGUGUCUUGGGGUUGCCCUGUAAGGAGGGGGAGACCUUUCUCCUUCACGUUUGCAGGGUAGGGGACAAAAGACAUGGCUGGGGUUGCAGGGGGCAACAGGGGAGGACCUGCAUCCCUCCACCUGAUUUCUUAAGUGACUGACUGAUGGGUGAUAGUGGGAAGGGGAUGGGUAGGGAGCCUGGGGAAACUCUCCAAAUAAAGCUCUCUGCUCCAGGAGAUGGCACCCAGCCAGGCAGAAUUCCAGAACAUCAGGACAGAAAUGGGCCUCUCUGGUGUCACUCUCUCUUUCUCUCAGUGGGGAAACAGAGGCCCAGAGGUGAGAAUCCUUCUCAAGGCUCUGUAGUGCAUCAGUGGCGGGGUCAGCAUUAAAACCCAGGUCUUUGGACUGCCAGGCCUGGGUCCUUCCUGCCAGAGUGGUUUCCCUGCUGGGUCCUAUUGCCUCCUUCCGGGUGUGGCUCCCCAGCAUGGGUGAGAGGGGAAGGAGAAGGGAAGGGGAUAGGGCUGGCAAAAUCCAAACGCGUGGGGGAAGUCUGUGGUGGGGGAGGGGGCGUUGCCCUCUGUGCCCCAGGUCACACGCUGGAGGAGAGAGAUACACAGGGUGGGCCCGGAGAGAGAGCACGUGCGCCUGUAAUCACAGAGGUUGUUUCAAGAAGCACCCAGGACCCUUCCUGCCUCUCACCUACUGCAGGCAACACAUGUGUUCUAAGUCCCAGAGGCAUGGCUGAGGCCUUGGGCUGGGGCUAGGGCUAUGGGAGGCUUUUACCCAGAGCCCUGGGUCUAGAUGCCACUUCGCCCUCCCCCGUGAUCUCUGAGCGGCCACCAUUUGAAGCUCACUAAAGCCCAGGACAGAGGCAGGACAACGGUGCACAGACAUUAACCAGAUGAUGAAACCAGGGUCCAGCACAAGGGAGGCCCAAGUCAUAUCUCCUGAUUCCCAGCAUCCACUGCCUCUUCCCAGGUCACUUGUCACCCACACAACUGCUCCUGUGGCCUCAAGACUCAAAGGGUGUUUAACCUCGACACAGUCCCGGUGUUUCAGGCUUAGAGUAAUUGAACCCUUAGCUCUGUGUGGUCAGCUGCCAGUGUUCUAAUUUGUCCCUGAUCCCUGAGCCUGGCACAGCACCUGCCCUGUUUGAUGAGUGCCUAGAUGCUUCUUAACAGGGAAACCGAGGCCCCAAGAAAAGCUAGACCUAUGAUACCACUCAUUCACAAUGUGGCCUCAGAGAGCUUCCAUUUCCACAUCUGUAAAGUGGGUGACUGUUGAGCUUGUUUGCAGGGAGGAGUCAGUAUCUAGAUGUCUGUAAACUGAGCAGUGUUGGGCACAUAC
Molecule: long non-coding RNA, 4048 nt
Filed under: Sus scrofa (pig)
Lineage: Eukaryota; Metazoa; Chordata; Mammalia; Artiodactyla; Suidae
Description: lncRNA (ENSSSCG00040032837.1)
Source: RNAcentral